AACGAACGCUGGCGGCAUGCCUAACACAUGCAAGUCGAACGAGAUCUUCGGGUCUAGUGGCGCACGGGUGCGUAACGCGUGGGAAUCUGCCCUUUGGUUCGGAAUAACAGUUGGAAACGACUGCUAAUACCGGAUGAUGACGAAAGUCCAAAGAUUUAUCGCCAGAGGAUGAGCCCGCGUAGGAUUAGCGAGUUGGUGUGGUAAAGGCGCACCAAGGCGACGAUCCUUAGCUGGUCUGAGAGGAUGAUCAGCCACACUGGGACUGAGACACGGCCCAGACUCCUACGGGAGGCAGCAGUGGGGAAUAUUGGGCAAUGGGCGAAAGCCUGAUCCAGCAAUGCCGCGUGAGUGAUGAAGGCCUUAGGGUUGUAAAGCUCUUUUACCCGGGAUGAUAAUGACAGUACCGGGAGAAUAAGCUCCGGCUAACUCCGUGCCAGCAGCCGCGGUAA
RNAcentral lists this ribosomal RNA (449 nucleotides) under uncultured bacterium. RNAcentral describes it as "partial 16S ribosomal RNA". It matches the Rfam family "Bacterial small subunit ribosomal RNA", at positions 29 to 523 of the family's 1533-position model. The record is from RNAcentral.